Long non-coding RNA from Mya arenaria, 1530 nucleotides. RefSeq lists it as uncharacterized. The transcript has 4 exons. Lineage: Eukaryota; Metazoa; Mollusca; Bivalvia; Myida; Myidae. The record is from RefSeq and is a predicted model, not a curated record.
UGUUUGGUCCAUUAUGUCCAUGGUCCAUCAUGUCCUGACACCUAUAAAUGUACACUAUUACUUCUAGAUAGUAGAUGGCCGGCAGAAAUAACCGAAACAUGUGGAUAGAAGGGAUAGGAGAUGAUGCGCUGUUAGCCGUUGGAGCCUUCUUUGGAAUGUUUAUUCCCUUGGUGCUGAUGGUUCAACAGAGGCAUCGAGACCAGCAAAUACAUCCGGAAAAUGUGCAACUAGCUGAGGAAACUCGGGAGGAAGUAAACCAUCAGAGAGCUGAAAAUCAGGCAUAAGAAUUGUCUUGGAAAGAGCAAACUUUUGGGAUCUGGUCAUGGAGCUUUGCCGUCCUUCAUCCAGAGCCUUCCACAGCGAUGGCAGAUAUAUUGCUGCUUGGAUCAACUCUUGACCAUGCCGUUGAGUCCAGGAUCACAGUAGCAGCCAUGACAACAUCAACAGAAUGACAUCUGCCUAUGGAUGCAUACAUUUUGCACCUCUUCCUUGUGCUGUCAGAUUGAAACGUCUCUACUCUGGCAGAAGGAAGUGAAUGAAUCCCCAGGAUUGUUCCUCCGGAAAAUCUCUUCAACCGGCUGUUGACAGUUUGCAUGCUCUUUGGAUGGAAUUACCUUAGCUUGGCUUGCAGAGAAUCUGUUAUGUAAAAAAACUGGGCUGCUUUGUGUUAUUGAUUUAUUGACCUUAAAUGUAUUUUAUAUGUAUUUUGCCACUAUUGUAAAAAAACAAUGGGCAUAUAUGCACUAGCAUAUGUUUGCAAACAGACACAUUUUAUUUUUGUAAAUAACUUGAAAAUACAUUUUGUAAGUUGACCUCAGACCAUGAAAGAUUAAUGGUAGGUUAUCUUUGACCAGAACAUGACCAGUAUUGUUUUUGAAGUUUGUUGGUCAAAGGUGAUGGUCAUGGCAAACAGUGGUUAUUCUGCACAAUGACUCUUUAAUUCUUUAACCUUAUACCAUUGAUAUUUAGUGAUUGAUAUAUCAGUCCAAAACAUAUGUAACAGGGUCCUGCUAAAAUUCAGCAAGAACUUAUUAGCAUUGCAAAUCAUUAUUUGUGCAUGUAACUGUAAAUACUAUUACGCUUUGUGUCAGAAACUUGACCAUCACAAAUUAGGGUCAUUGUUGAUCUUAUCUUGUUUCAUUAUUUUGCAUGUUUUGUCACAAAAGCAUCCUUCAUUUAAGAUUAAACAAUACAACAGAUCUCAAUUGUGUGAAAAACUGCUGAAAAUUUUAAUUUUCUUAAAGCGUCUAUAAGUAACUUUUGUAGCCAUAAAACAUCGAUUAUCAAUUCAAGGGGGUGAAAGCAAAAAGGUUCUAUCUGCUUCUUUAUUUAAUGUCACUUAGAACAUUUUUGCAUUCACCCCAUCUUAUUGGAAAAACUAUCUGAUCUUUUGACAGCAAUCAUAUAUAUCACUGUUUUCUAGACAUCUAGCAAAUAUACCUCAUUUCAAGACAAUAAAGAUGUCAAAUCAGUCGAUCCGGCUGUGAGAGAGCAGCUUUACACAAAGACUAUUUGAUAUGUUAUGUUAUG